AGGGGACACCGCUCUCCGUGGUACUGCAGAGAGCGCAGCUCCGCCCUUCUCGCAGAAGGACAGCACCCGGUAUCACGUAACCCAGCCUCCUCCUUUUCCACCACCACCACCUCCUCCUCCUCUCUUCUCUCCUCUUCUCCUCUCCUCCUCCUCCCCUCCUUUGCCUGUUCUCCCUUCCCUCACUCCUAGAGAUAGACGCUCAAGCCUGACGCCUCUGAAAACGCAGCAGCAGUCGCCUUAGAGCCAGAGACCUCGGGAAAUUCUCUUUGACCGAUGCAUGCUUCUGGUUCUGCCAAGAGCUAAAAGGAAAAUCCAAGCAGGCAGAUUUCUGGGUCACAAAAAAAAAAAAAAAGCCAAAAAAAAAAAACAAACCAACAACAACAACACAUCGACAUGCGCCCAGAUUGAUCUUGGUCUUGCAUGGAAGGAGGGAAAAGAAGAGGAGCUGUUGAGCUUUACAAUUAAAGGAGCUCUCUUUCUAUUUGACAGCUUUUGGGCUUCAACCCCACUGUUGGGGAGAAGAAAAAAAGGGGGAUUUUUAAAAAUAGCUUGGGAAGUCAUGAUCAAGGAGGCUAACAUUCUGCCUUGGCUACAGUGGGACCAAUGUUUUGUGAUCUGACAGCAUAACCUCUAUUGGCAGGCAAGUCUGGAAUUGAUAAUUGAUGUUCUAAAGAAGAUAAGGACCUUUUUUCCCCCUUACUGGGGACUAUCCAUUUUGGGGGUAACAUGUGAAGAUAUAUGUAUUCAGGCAUGUGGAAAUAUUAAUAUUAGGUUGUCAAACAUCUGAGAAGUUUGGUGUUUUGUUUUUUCCUAUUCAUCUGUCCUGUCUCCACCACCAAAAGAAUCUGAAGGAUUGUUGCAUUUGGGAGUGGAAGCAUCUGCUGACUCAUUCAUUGAACCAACAGCCCAUAUCUUCUACCUAAGUGAUCAGCAUUUUUUUUCUUUGUUCUUGAUAAAGUUUUUAGCACAUUUCCUCAAGGUGUAUUUACAUCUUGGCCUGGAAGUUCUGUGGCUAUACUAUACUACUAGGGCCGACAUUUUCCAGUGGGGUAGAAAAUAUAGAGAGGUUGAGAGGUUUUUGAAAAAAAAAGAAAAAAAGAGGGUUUCAGGUAAAGGAGUGAGCAUUCCUACUCCAGCCAUUGUCUUUACUAUUCCUGCCACUUUUUAUUCCCUGAUACCCUCCCUAAUUCCACCUUAGGGUGUCCAGGAAGAUUUUGAACCUGUCCACCCCUGUGUCUCCGC
RNAcentral lists this long non-coding RNA (1242 nucleotides) under Vombatus ursinus (common wombat). RNAcentral's name for it is "lncRNA (ENSVURG00010014715.1)". The record is from RNAcentral. Lineage: Eukaryota; Metazoa; Chordata; Mammalia; Diprotodontia; Vombatidae.